AUGACAGUGUGGUAUUGGUGGAAGAAUAGACAAAGAGACUGGUGGAACACAAUGGAGAGCCCCCACACAAUCAACACAUUAUGGAAAGUUGAUUUCUGGCCGUGUCAUGAAACCACUGAAGACGAUUGUCUUGCCCAGAGUGAUGCCCUCUCCCUGCGGCCAGUAAGUGGUCACGUGGGGCUGUACAGCCCUAGGCCCUGGCCCCGUAUGGACAACGAAGUGCCUCAGAUUCAAAGCUCCCGGGUUCCAGACUUUCCCACUUCACUCCCAAAUCUCAGGAAAUGCCCUCUACCCAACCUGAAUGCCCCUGUAUGGGACUGUGUUAUGUACCACCGUGUCCUCAUGUCCUCCAACCACUAGAGAAAAUGCAAAGCGGCCCCUCCAUACACCGUUUCCCAAGGAAGAGGAGCUCACAGGUAAACUGGCCAACACACUUGGGCUAUAUAACUUGCGUGGUGUGUGUGUGUGUCUCUGUGUGUGUGUGUGCACGCACCAUGUGUGUGGUGGAAGGAAGGAAAGGAAAAUGGGGUUAAAAACAAGUAAGUAAAAUAAGUUUUUUCCUACUGCAUUUUGAAGUGUAACAUACAUAAAGUAUAGAAAUUUUUAAAAAGUUUUUAAUGUUUGUUUAUUUUUGAGAGAGAGAGAGACAGAGUGCAAGCAGGGGAGGUACAGAGAGAGGGACACACAGAAUCUGAAGCAGGCUCCAGGCUCUGAGCUGUCAGCAAAGAACCCAAUGCCGGGAUCAAACCCACGAACUAUGAGCUGAUGACCUGAGCCAAAGUCGGACACUUAACCAACUGAGCCACGCGGGUGCCCCCAUAAAGUAUAGAAAUUUUAAAUGUAUACUUUCAUGAAUUUUUACAUAUUGGAUACACUCAGGUCACUCCUAUACAGAUCAAGAUACAGAACCUUCCUCACUGCCCAAAAAGAGGUCCUGAAUCCCUUUCCAGGCAGUAUCUACCAACCCCACCAGCCUGUACCCAGAAAUAAUUACUAUUCUGACAUCUGUCACCAUAUGUUAGUUUUGCUGUUCUUGAACCUCAUAUAAAUGGAGUAAUACAGUAUGUUCUUUUUGUAUCUGGCUUCUUUUGCUCAUUGUUAUGUCUGUAGUAUUCAUCCAUGUUGUUAGUCUGUGUUCUUUUAAUGGGUUCAUUUCUGGGGGGUUUCUUGCCCCUUGGCUCAUUUCACCAUUGGAGUGUGAAACCAGUAUUUAGUACUGGGGCUAGAGAAGAGAGCAGCUCAGAGGAGAAGCACUCUCUGUGGCUGCCACACAAUCUACACAGCUAUAAGACAUAAGGAUCCGUGUAGGCUUUAAGACCAAAGCUUAAUAGUGACCUUCCCAGAGCACUGCAGCGGACACCUGGAUAGUGACCAAACUUUCCAUCUUGCCUUGAUUAGUGCUGUGUCCCAUAUAUCUUUGACAUCUUCCUUAUUAUAGUCCUCUGAAAACAAUGCUUGCCUUGGGUUCUCCCCAAUCAGGUGAUCUUCUGUGAAUGCCUGACUACAGAUCCUGCUGAUUCCUAACCCGUUCACUGUUCUCAUUCCUGACCAAGGAGUAAAAGAGUAGAGCUGGUUUAGGACAAAUCCACUCUUAUUCUUUAGCAGAGCAAGCCCUACUAAAGGGGGUGCUGUAGCAUUCUUACCGUUGACAAAGGGCAACUCAUUAAUUUAGUGUAAAAUUUAUUAUCUCAUUGAUGUCAGCUCUUAUCCUAGUCUUCCAAAAGAUGCAUUAACUUUCGACACUUUGUUCUUUUUCCAUGUGUAAGUAAUUAAUUGAUAUCCUGGAACAAAACUUUGUACCCCUUCUAGUCUAUGCAUUCAAACACUUAGUUUAAUUUUUUUUACAUUUAUUUAUUUUGAGAGAGACAGAGAUAGCGUGAGUGGGGGAGGGGCAGAGAGAGAGGGAUACACAGAAUCCCAAGCAGGCUCUGUACCGUCAGCGCAGACCCCCAUGCGGGGCUCAAACCUACAGACCUGUGAGAUUGUGACCUGAGCCGAAAUAAAGAGUCAGAGGCUUACCUGACUGAGAGACUC
RNAcentral lists this long non-coding RNA (2034 nucleotides) under Felis catus (domestic cat). RNAcentral's name for it is "lncRNA (ENSFCAG00000041520.2)". The record is from RNAcentral. Lineage: Eukaryota; Metazoa; Chordata; Mammalia; Carnivora; Felidae.